RNAcentral lists this long non-coding RNA (948 nucleotides) under Triticum aestivum (bread wheat). RNAcentral describes it as "long non-coding RNA (TAES_LNC000442)". Lineage: Eukaryota; Viridiplantae; Streptophyta; Magnoliopsida; Poales; Poaceae. The record is from RNAcentral.
CUUAUGUCUGUACUAAUGCUAAAAAAACAGUUUUUUAACAUGCAUUUACAUGGAAUGAGAUCCAAGGCCAUACCGAAAUAGCCACACUGAGUCAACAUGAACAACACGAACUGCAAACACUUGUUUAUUACCAGUUUACCACGAUACAUAGAUAGCCUUAAGGAUAAUUUAGUCAAGCACCUUUCAGUACCGACCCAUAGAACCAAUCAAGGCGGGUAACAAAGACCCUUCAGCAUGCAAUAGGAGCUCCUCCUGGAGGGUUUCCAUUGCCAUCGUCAUCGUCGUCAUCGUCCUUGUGAAACUUCAACACUGCACCUAAUAUUGGACUAAACCUAGUCCUCUUGUUUUUCUUCUUGGGUGGUUGUUGUUUCUUUUGUUGAAGAAGCUGCAAAAGUGGAUUCCUUAAUCUUGAGAAAAUUAAUUGGAUCCACACAUAUACACAGACUAUGAUAUCUGUACGAAUAAACUAAGUUCCAAAAAAUUAACUAGUGGAGAAUAUAUACAAGGCUUACCUUGUUAAAUGCUGCUCUCAUUUCACUGCUAAUCAUAUCUUUGUUUGCCUUAGCAUACUCCAUUAGUUCUUUUGCAUUCAUGGUCUCCAGCCUUGCCAGCUGCCAACAAUGUCAUUGUAUACAGAAAUUAUGAGCAAGUAUAUACGAUACAGUUGUGCUAAAAUAAUAACUUAAAUAUGUGUUCUUCUGAUUGCUAGCUAGGAAAAAGUGCUGCCUCGCUCGAACGGUAUUUGUGAAACAACGAGAUCGUAAACAAUUAAACAUUGAGACACUCCCCACAGUAACGAAGGUACAAACAUCAACAUUGAUUAUAUAUCAUGAUGCCAUUUACCCAUGCUUUGAAUUCCUUGAUGUGCCCCCUUACUGAAUUAUCUCCAUUAUCACCUGCAGCCAUAUCAAAAUACAGGAUGAUCAAUGUUUAGGUGAGGGCUUGUUG